AGGAGUUUGGAUCAUGGGCUCAGGGUGAACGCUGGCGGCGUGGAUUAGGCAUGCAAGUCGAAUGCAUUUAGUUGCAUGGCAGACGAGGUAGUAACACGUAGGUUACGUACCCUAAAGUCAGGGAUAAUCCGGAGAAAUCCGGGAUAAUACCUGAUAGUCCGAGCACCACUUUUUGAAUUUUUUUCUUUAGAAAAGAAUUCAAAAAGUGGUGCUCGGUAAAGAUUUAUCGCUUUAGGAAUGGCCUGCGGGGUAUCAGCUUGUUGGUAGUGUAAAGGACUACCAAGGCUAUGACGCCUAGGGGAGGUGAGAGCCUGACCCCCACCGAUGGAACUGAGACACGGUCCAUACUCCUACGGGAGGCCGCAGUCGAGAAUCUUCCGCAAUGGACGAAAGUCUGACGGAGCGACGCCGCGUGAUCUGAUGACGCACCUCGGGUGUGUAAAAAUCUUUCUAUAUGGGAAGAAGUUUUAUUGACGGCACCAUAUGAAUCAAGGGGCUCCUAAACUCCUGCCAGCAAGGAGCGGG
This 525-nucleotide ribosomal RNA is filed under the name uncultured bacterium. Its description in RNAcentral is "bacterial SSU rRNA". It matches the Rfam family "Bacterial small subunit ribosomal RNA", at positions 1 to 521 of the family's 1533-position model. The record is from RNAcentral.